GGACAGAUGGCCGAGUGGUUAAGGCGACGGUCUUAAGCACCGUUAUCCGUGAGGAUGCAGGAGUUCGAACCUCCUUCUGUCCA
This 83-nucleotide transfer RNA is filed under the name Endocarpon pusillum. RNAcentral describes it as "tRNA-Leu (TAA) (tRNA-Leu-TAA-1-1)". It matches the Rfam family "tRNA". Rfam says of the family: Transfer RNA (tRNA) molecules are approximately 80 nucleotides in length. Their secondary structure includes four short double-helical elements and three loops (D, anti-codon, and T loops). Further hydrogen bonds mediate the characteristic L-shaped molecular structure. tRNAs have two regions of fundamental functional importance: the anti-codon, which is responsible for specific mRNA codon recognition, and the 3' end, to which the tRNAs corresponding amino acid is attached (by aminoacyl-tRNA synthetases). tRNAs cope with the degeneracy of the genetic code in two manners: having more than one tRNA (with a specific anti-codon) for a particular amino acid; and 'wobble' base-pairing, i.e. permitting non-standard base-pairing at the 3rd anti-codon position. The record is from RNAcentral. Lineage: Eukaryota; Fungi; Ascomycota; Eurotiomycetes; Verrucariales; Verrucariaceae. RNAcentral also lists the same sequence under 1 other name.